AAAAAGACAAACCCUGGUUUUCGUGCCUAACGUUUGACCGUUCGUCUUAUUUGAAAAAAUUAUGAAAAAAAUUAAAAAGACAAGUCACGCAUAAAAUAUUAAUCAUGUUUUAUCAUCUAACAACAAUAAAAAUACGAAUUAUAAAAAAAUUUCAUAUAAGACGGACAGUCAAAGUUGGACACAGAAACCUAGGGUUUGCCUUUUU
RNAcentral lists this microRNA precursor (205 nucleotides) under Oryza rufipogon (brownbeard rice). RNAcentral's name for it is "MIR812 microRNA precursor family". It matches the Rfam family "MIR812 microRNA precursor family". Lineage: Eukaryota; Viridiplantae; Streptophyta; Magnoliopsida; Poales; Poaceae. The record is from Rfam by way of RNAcentral.